This is a long non-coding RNA of Oncorhynchus gorbuscha (pink salmon), 1511 nucleotides long. RefSeq lists it as uncharacterized. NCBI's taxonomy places the organism in Eukaryota, Metazoa, Chordata, Actinopteri, Salmoniformes, Salmonidae. The record is from RefSeq and is a predicted model, not a curated record. The transcript has 3 exons.
CCUAUGACCUGCAGCUCUGCUUCAUAGUGUCUCUUCAGGCCCUUCAGAUAGAUGCGUAAGCUGUCAGGGUCCAGCCUGGAGUUCCUGGCUGUCUGCAGGAGCCGAGUGGCCAGGUGGUACACUGCUCUCUGCCGUUGCGUUUCCGGAUCACUGUGGUGCUUGGCCUGAGUUAGGGUUGGAGGAAGACGACAGGUUGACAGACCAUCAGGGACUACAGAGAAUAAGAUGAUGGAUAAGCUUCCACGGCUCAGCAGGAAGGUAUAGAUGACACGUUCUGUACCCGUGUCACCAGUGCGGGUGUGCUGAACCUCCAUGUGCUGGUUUUCCACAUUGGGGUACAAUGUCUCCAACUCACAUAGUUCCAGGAAGUGUGUGGCGAACAGCGUGAACGCCUGAGACCAGCAGAUAGGAGAGAGGCACUGUGCUGGUUGGCCACACCGUACCUACCCUGAGGCUAAGGAGGAAUUCGCAGACAGAGUGACAGAUGCCGACACCCUCCUCAGCACUAGUACCACGCCCAAGCUCGUCUAUGAUAAUGAGAGACCUAUCACUCACAUUAUGGAUUAAAUAUGAGACCUUGGGAGUACAAAGAAAUUAAUCAGAAUUACUUUGCGGUAUUUCAAAAAUGCAUACAAAACCACUGAGUGGCAAAUAUCUAUGAGAAAUGUACCUCCUUCAUUUCCACCAUAAAGGUUGAGGAGUUGGUCUCAAAGUCAUCAUCCACCCCGAUUCUGGUGAAAAUCUGGUCAGCAAUGCGGAAGGAGGCAUACUCAGCAGGGACAAAGGAGCCUAGAUCAGAUUCAUUAUAUAAGUAGCCUGUGAGUAAGCCUGUUGAAUGGUUACAACACUGAAAAUUAAGUUAAUUAUAUAACUACAUUCCAUUUUAAAUUAAUUUAGUAGUUUCCCACCUAUCUGAGCCAUGAUCUGGCACAGCGCCACCUGUUUGAGGUAGGUGGAUUUGCCACUCAUGUUGGGCCCAGUGAUGAUGACAAAGUUACUGCCCUCAGAGAUGUAGCUGUUGUUGGACACGGGCUGCUGGCCAACGAUGCGCUCCAGAAUGGGGUGACGACCCUGCUUGAUGGCCAGUGUGUCUGUGAACUCAGGACGCACUGCAGGCACAGAGAAGGAAAACAACAUUAGGAAGAACACAAUACAAAUUCAUAAUUACAUGGUUAGUAAAUAAAUGUUUUACUCAGUGUUGAAUUUCUGUGGAUGACAUUCAGUUGGGUUUGUUAUUUUAUCACACAUUUUAUGAGGAAAUUCAAAACACUUCUAGCAUGCAGUCGAAACAGACAUCUACAGUAGUCGUGUCAUGCAGAAAGAUUGGUCUGGUCAAAUACAGUAAUGGUUUCUUGACCAGGGUAAUCUGAGAGUGAGAUGACAGACAGAGAAGGCCGACAGUCAGCACGUGUCCCUCCAGAGAUCUUGUUUCAGACAGCUGUGGGCCAUUGGUCACCACCCACAUGGUUAUGGGAGCUGCUGCCCAGACAACUUAAGCUAGCAGGGCAACC